This 253-nucleotide ribosomal RNA is filed under the name uncultured bacterium. Its description in RNAcentral is "partial 16S ribosomal RNA". It matches the Rfam family "Bacterial small subunit ribosomal RNA", at positions 524 to 776 of the family's 1533-position model. The record is from RNAcentral.
UACGGGGGGGGCAAGCGUUGUUCGGAAUUACUGGGCGUAAAGGGCUCGUAGGCGGCCAACUAAGUCAGACGUGAAAUCCCUCGGCUUAACCGGGGAACUGCGUCUGAUACUGGAUGGCUUGAGUUCGGGAGAGGGAUGCGGAAUUCCUGGUGUAGCGGUGAAAUGCGCAGAUAUCAGGAGGAACACCGGUGGCGAAGGCGGAUCUCUGGGCCAUUACUGACGCUGAGGAGCGAAAGCGUGGGGAGCGAACAGG